AGGGUGUAAACGCUGCAGACUUGGUGUUGGAGGCCCUUUGGGGGCAUUCAGUGCCGGAGAGAAGUUGUUAAGUCUGCUACUUGGGGAGUACGUCCGCAAGGAUGAAACUUAAAGGAAUUGGCGGGGGAGCACCGCAACGGGAGGAGCGUGCGGUUUAAUUGGAUUUCAACACCGUAAAACUCACCAGGGAAGACUGUUACAUGAAGGCCGAGAUGAAGACUCUGCUAGAUUUUCAGAGAGGAGGUGCAUGGCGUCAGUGACU
Molecule: ribosomal RNA, 262 nt
Filed under: uncultured archaeon
Lineage: Archaea
Description: partial 16S ribosomal RNA
Rfam family: Archaeal small subunit ribosomal RNA
Source: RNAcentral